RNAcentral lists this transfer RNA (74 nucleotides) under Aureispira sp. RNAcentral's name for it is "tRNA-Leu". It matches the Rfam family "tRNA". Rfam says of the family: Transfer RNA (tRNA) molecules are approximately 80 nucleotides in length. Their secondary structure includes four short double-helical elements and three loops (D, anti-codon, and T loops). Lineage: Bacteria; Pseudomonadati; Bacteroidota; Saprospiria; Saprospirales; Saprospiraceae. RNAcentral also lists the same sequence under 1 other name. The record is from RNAcentral.
ACUUCUGUAGCCCAACUGGCAGAGGCGUUAGACUUAGACUCUAAAUGUUGUGGGUUCGACUCCCACCAGAAGUA